Molecule: long non-coding RNA, 1622 nt
Organism: Myxocyprinus asiaticus (Chinese sucker)
Lineage: Eukaryota; Metazoa; Chordata; Actinopteri; Cypriniformes; Catostomidae
Exons: 3
Source: RefSeq, a predicted model, not a curated record
CGCGCGGCGAGGAGAGCGCGCGUGACCACAACAAGCUCCGCAUGGGUUCAUAUUAGCUCUUUGGAAUGCUCAAUUAUGAUUGGUCAAUGGCGAAAUCUAGUGGUCUGAUAUCUCCAAGUAACAACCGCACAUCUUCAUAUCAGGCCGCUCAUCUGGGUAUUGUGAAUUUGCGAGUCAUCUUUCCUGCUUCUCGGAUCACUGUGUGAUCUCUACAGAUGUAGAUCAAGGAGUCCUGCAACAGAUGGUAUGGCCCCUACAGAGCCCUGAUCUCAAUAUCAUUGUGUCAGUCUGGGAUUACAUUAAGAGACCGAAGCAACUGAGACAGCCUAUACAUCGAACUGUGGCAAGUACUCCAAGAUGCUUGGAACAACCUAUCUGCCAAAAACCUUAGAAUUUACCUAAGUUUGCCCAAGAGAACUGGUGCUGUUUUAAAGGCAUAGGGUGACACAAAAUAUAUUUGUUUACUGCACUUUGUAAGAAGUUAUUUGAUAAAUAAAAAUUAUUGAUGACAUUAUUUUUGAUAACAUCAUCACAGUACAACAUUUUUCACCACUGCCUAAGACUUUUGCACAGAAAUAUAUACUGUAUGUACACAUAUUUAUAUAUAUACACCUUGGCGGGCAAAAGUUUGGAAUAAUGUACAGAUUUUGCUGUUUCGGAAGGAAAUUGGUACUUUAAUUCACCAAAGUGGCAUUCAACAGAUCACAAAGCAUCGUCAGGACAUUACUGAUGUAAAAAAACAGCACCAUCACUAUUUUAAAAAAGUCAUUUUUGAUCAAACCUAGACAGGCCCCAUUUCUAGCAGCCAUCACUCCAACACCUUAUCCUUGAGUAAUCAUGCUAAAUUGCUAAUUUGGUACUAGAAAAUCACUUGCCAUUAUAUUAAACACUGCUGAAAGCUAUUUGGUUCAUUAAAUGAAACUUAAAAUUGUCUUUGUGUUUGUUUUUGCCACAGUAUGCAAUAGACUGGCAUGUCUUAAGAUCAAUAUUAGGUCAAAAAUGGCAAAAAAAAAAGAAAAAAAAAAAAAAAGAAAAGAAAACAAAAAAAAGAAACAGCUUUCUCUAGAAACUUGUCAGUCAAUCAUUGUUUUGAGGAAUGAAGGCUAUACAGUGCUUGAAUUUGCAAAAAAACUGAAUAUGUCAUACAAAGGUGUACACUACAGUCUUCAAAGACAAAGGACAACUGUCUCUCUAGUUUGAGAAAUAGACGCCUCACAUGUCCUCAGCUGACAGCUUCAUUGAAUUCUACCCACUCAACACAAGUUUCAUGUACAACAGUAAAGAAAAGACUCAGGUAUGCAGGCCUUAUGGAAAGAAUUGCAAAGAAAAAGCCACUUUUGAAACAGAAAAAAAAAAAGAAAAGGUUAGAGUGGGCAAAGAAACACAGACAUUCGACAACAAAUAAUUGGAAAAAAGUUUAUGGAUCUUAACCCCAUUGAGCUUUUGUGGGAUCAGCUAGACUAUAAGGUGCGUGAGAAGUGCCCGACAAGACUGCCACAUCUAUGGAAAGUGCUACAGGAAGCAUGGGUUGAAAUGUCACCUGAGUAUUUGGACAAACUGACAGCUAGAAUGCCAAGGAUCUACAAAGCUGCCAUUGCUGCACAUGGAGGAUUUUUUUUUAU